UUUUUUAAAAAAAACCAUCCGCUAUCCGCGUGUUUCCGAUCGCUUUGCCGGCGCCUUCGUGUUGUUUGUUUGACAGCGGGGACUGACCCAGUGGCUGCUCCCCAGCGCGGGGGCUCCGAGGUGUUGAGACUGACCGAUGGAGGGAGAUUAGGUUGGUGGAGCCUCUCUGGUUGGUGCGUGUGGGCCUCUGCCCCUGCCGCUAGCCUCUCUCUGCCUUGGGGUGCCUGGUCUGCUUUGAGGUCUAGAGAGUGGCGGGGAGUUCUUAUCUGGUUAAUGGGUAGGACUCUGAGCGCCGGUGGAAAGUGGGAUGAUCCCUGCGCAGGCUGACGUUGGGGGCGACGCUGUUCCGAGCAUCCUGGUGAGUGAGCGAGCCGGGUACAGUAGCCUCAGUCCUGGGGCAGCGGUGAGGAGGGGCGGACCCUCCCGGCCAGCACCUAGGAGACCGGCAGGGGUGUAUUCUGAAGCAUCUUUCUGUGUGUUUGUGUUUGUUUAUUGUGCUGGGGUAUUAAAAAGGAGGUGGCACCCUGAAGGAUAAUAAUGGAUCUGAUAAUCUCCAGGGCCAGGUUUUUCUUAAAAUACACAUGUGCUUAUUUUUACCUGUGAUUUUUUUUUUUUUAGGGUUAGGACAGUUUUGGAAAAUCAGGGACGCCUUUCUGGUUUGGAAGCUAGUGGGCAGUAAAGAGUGCAGGCAGCUCUAAUUGGAGGCCGGGGCGGUGCUCAGCUACACCCUUAGGAUAUUGGUUAGAAAACCUCAGAAACACAGAAGUCUGUGCACCUGGUGUUCAUUCCCAUGUAAUGACAGGGUUUUGUUUUGCACGAAUGGUCAUUUUAUUAUCUCCGAUACAGUUCUGUUGUUUGUCUUUGGGAAUUCUGAGUGACUUGGACUAAAAAAUGCAUCUUUGAACAGUGCCACUUGGACUGGAGAACUAGAUCCAGCCUUCCAUGAAUAAGCAAAGAACAGACCACCCGAAAUAUGGCUAACAGCAGUGGAAACUGGCGUGUGUUGAGAAUCACUUUUGAGGGCUCACAAUUUGCGCCCUUGUUUCUUCUCGAUGUGUGUCUGGUGAAGGAAGAGAUCACUGACAGUAAGGAAGUGUUUUGGCAGCAGAAUCCCAUGUCCCACUGUGGAGCUAUUUUGGCCGUUCGUUGGCGUGCCUCCAGGGAAAUCACCUAGAAGCCAGAGAAACAGCUUUGGAUUCUGAACCCCUCAAGAAGUCAUCUGGAUGGGAGAGCUCUGUGGGGGAUCAGGGCUUUCAGAAACUAAUGAAGUGACAUUGUCUAAAAAGAAUGUUUUAAUUAGACAGUAAAAUUUAUAUUUUGAGCUAAGGGGAGGGAGGGCCCUUCUCUUCCAUGUAGACGAGUACAUUGUGUCUGUGAGGGGUGGGUGAAGAUGAAGGAACAUGAUCAGCUUUCUCUCUGGGUAGUAAAAGGGCAGGCGAUGGCUGGAGUUUGAUAGUUUGUGGGGACAGAGUGCUUAGGGCCCAAGCAGACGCCAUUGAGUGACUUUGCUCUGAAGACUUUUUCUGUGUUAGAUCCAGCUUACCGUUAGUCCAGGUAUAAACACCCACCCCUCUCUCCCCACCCUGUGCGUGUUUGAUCGGUAGUUUCAGUCUUUUUGCAACUUAAUUUUCCAUGUUUUUCAAAACUACUGCCAUUAAAAACUGCCUCUUUCAGGA
Chinchilla lanigera (long-tailed chinchilla) is the source of this 1676-nucleotide long non-coding RNA. RefSeq lists it as uncharacterized. The record is from RefSeq and is a predicted model, not a curated record. NCBI's taxonomy places the organism in Eukaryota, Metazoa, Chordata, Mammalia, Rodentia, Chinchillidae. The transcript is spliced from 2 exons.